Long non-coding RNA from Tyto alba (common barn owl), 1084 nucleotides. RefSeq lists it as uncharacterized. Lineage: Eukaryota; Metazoa; Chordata; Aves; Strigiformes; Tytonidae. The transcript has 4 exons. The record is from RefSeq and is a predicted model, not a curated record.
AAGCCAAGCCAAGGCACUGCGGCCUCCUCCUGGCAGCAAGCACCGAGGACGUGGCCACUAGAUGUUGCUGCCGGCCAGGCCGAAGCUGCUCCAUCCCCUUCCCGGAGCCAUGAGGGCUCUUCCCACCUGCUGCUCAAAUCAAACGGUGUGGAAGGAGGAUAUUCUCAUAACAUCAAGCGGCAGAGCCGAGGAGGAUAUUCUUGCUGUAAUUCUUGCUGAAUACAUCUACCCGGCGAUUUAUUUUGGUGGGAAGGUAACUGGGUGAAGGCAGCCUGAUGAAUUUCAGAUCGAUGGCAUCUGAGAUUUAACCUUGAAACAGAGACCACCUGAAGGCUCUUCAAGUCACUUUGUGAUGGUUUCCUCAGCCCCUUCCUCAACAUGGCUGACGGCGCGUCCUCGCGACGGGCUCGUUGCUGCUCUUAUUUCACAUCAGCUUUUCCAUGGCGAAGCUGUCGCGCGGUGAGAGGGGGGGGUGGGGAGAGGGGGCAGGGACUGGAGGCUAAAAAAAAAAAAAAAAAAAAAACAACCCCCAAAACUGAAAAAAAAAAAAAAAAAAGAAAAAAAACAACCCAAAAAAGUGGUGUUAGCAGGUGACCUGAAUUCCUCUAGAGGCUUCUCAGUCGGAGCCGGUGCCGGGGGGGCCGUGGGAGGCGAACGUGUCCUCGUGUGGGUGCAGGGGGUGCGGGGGGAAGACCGACAGAAAGAGUGCAAAGGGGACGGUUACGGCUGCCACCGGGGUUUCGAAGGCAUUCUGCUACGAGGAGGACAAAUCCUUAGCUUAAAUGCUCACAAAGAACAUCACCUAAGACAGCUCUUUAUACCUUUACAUACUGUAUCAAUAAUUUACUUUGAACUGCAGUAAACAAAAUACAUUUCUUAAAUAAUUUACUAUUUAUUUGUUUUGUUUUUUUUUUUUUUUUAUCUCUCUGUAAAUUUAACUUUUUCCUUUUUAUCGUCUUUUUUUUUUUUUUUCUUUGUAACACAAGAAACUGUGUUUGUGCACGUUAGUUCAGAUUAUUGCGACAUUUAACCUGAAUUUCAGUUAAGAAAAAAAAAAAAAAAAAAAAGCAACAGGACAGUUGUA